Molecule: ribosomal RNA, 485 nt
Filed under: uncultured bacterium
Lineage: Bacteria
Description: partial 16S ribosomal RNA
Rfam family: Bacterial small subunit ribosomal RNA
Source: RNAcentral
GAUGAACGCUAGCGGCAGGCCUAAUACAUGCAAGCCAAGGGCUGUUUGGUGUAGCAAUCUCUCAAAAAAUUGGCGGACGGGUGCGUAAUGCGUAUGCAAUAUACCAUCUAUAGGAGGAUAGUACCCGGAAACGACGAUUACUAAUACAUAAGAUUGUUUUGAGGCAUCUUUAUCCAUUUAAAGACGCAAGGUGGUUUAGGAUGGGCGUGCGUUCGAUUGGCCAGUUGGUGAGGUAACGGCUCACCAAGGCGAUGAUCGGUAGGGGGUCUGAGAGGAAGAUCCCCCAGACGUGCACUGAGACACAGGCCCGUCUGCGACGGGAGGCAGCAGUAAGGAAUAUAAUACGAGGGAUGAAAGCCUAGUCCAGCCAUGCCGCGUGCAGAAAGAAGGCGCUAUGGAUUGUAAGCUGCUUUGGAGAAGGAGAUAUGAAAGCGAUGCGUCGCUCGAUGAUGGUACUUCUCGAGUAAGCAACGGCUAACUUCGUG